Molecule: long non-coding RNA, 435 nt
Filed under: Panax ginseng (ginseng)
Lineage: Eukaryota; Viridiplantae; Streptophyta; Magnoliopsida; Apiales; Araliaceae
Description: long non-coding RNA (PGIN_LNC011327)
Source: RNAcentral
UAAAUUUUUGGUGCAAAAUCUCGGGGUUAAUCCUAUGGAAUCCAACAAAAGAACCUAUCUUGGGAAGUGGUACAAUAUUUACAGAAUCUCAUCUGGAAUCACCCUCCCUAGAAACGACAACAUUUUCCUCCAACCGUCAAAAGUCCUAUAGUGCAUACGAAAAAAGGUUCCAACUAUUUGAUUCUUGCACUAAUGAUUGCAUAUCAGUAACUAAAUCUUCUCCUACAAUUACCGUUAGACCCCUAGCUUUUGGAACCAAACCUUCUGCGUCAGAUACAGUUUCAUCUAAAAGUAUGGAUAUUGGCAAUGUUGGAGCUGUUAAGACCAAGAAUGUUGGUAGCCAUAAUCAUUCAAUAAAAAAGGAACCUCAUCUGCCCCCAAGUUCUGAAGGCAAAGAAGGUUGCGUGGAUGCCAACCACCUCAGCUUUCACGUAG